RNAcentral lists this ribosomal RNA (403 nucleotides) under Klebsiella sp. SG56. Its description in RNAcentral is "bacterial SSU rRNA". It matches the Rfam family "Bacterial small subunit ribosomal RNA", at positions 989 to 1392 of the family's 1533-position model. Lineage: Bacteria; Pseudomonadati; Pseudomonadota; Gammaproteobacteria; Enterobacterales; Enterobacteriaceae. The record is from RNAcentral.
CAGAGGACUUAGCAGAGAUGCUUUGGUGCCUUCGGGAACUCUGAGACAGGUGCUGCAUGGCUGUCGUCAGCUCGUGUUGUGAAAUGUUGGGUUAAGUCCCGCAACGAGCGCAACCCUUAUCCUUUGUUGCCAGCGGUCCGGCCGGGAACUCAAAGGAGACUGCCAGUGAUAAACUGGAGGAAGGUGGGGAUGACGUCAAGUCAUCAUGGCCCUUACGAGUAGGGCUACACACGUGCUACAAUGGCAUAUACAAAGAGAAGCGACCUCGCGAGAGCAAGCGGACCUCAUAAAGUAUGUCGUAGUCCGGAUUGGAGUCUGCAACUCGACUCCAUGAAGUCGGAAUCGCUAGUAAUCGUGGAUCAGAAUGCCACGGUGAAUACGUUCCCGGGUUUGGUACACACCG